This 33-nucleotide ribosomal RNA is filed under the name Leptinella serrulata. RNAcentral's name for it is "partial 26S ribosomal RNA". Lineage: Eukaryota; Viridiplantae; Streptophyta; Magnoliopsida; Asterales; Asteraceae. The record is from RNAcentral. RNAcentral also lists the same sequence under 10 other names.
CCCAGGUCAGGCGGGACUACCCGCUGAGUUUAA